AUGUUUGAUGUUAAGAUUGCUGUACUUAUCAUGCCUUUCCACUACUUAUGCAGGACAACAAUGGGAGUGGCCACCAUUUUCUGCCGAGGUACAUAUGCCCUUGGCAAGGAUCCACGCAUCAACCCUUUUUGUGUAUGGGGCAAUGAGAUAUUGAUGAACAAGCAUCAAGUGAGGAAACUGAUAAGGAUUAUUAGCAAAAAGAUACGAAUGGUGGCAAGCAAAUUAUUUGUUUAUGCUCUAUCCAACACAACAGUGAGUUGUAGGAUGGUUACUACAAACUCUGCAGCCUUGUCUUUUUAUUGCCCAUAA
RNAcentral lists this ribosomal RNA (309 nucleotides) under Triticum aestivum (bread wheat). RNAcentral's name for it is "partial small subunit ribosomal RNA". Lineage: Eukaryota; Viridiplantae; Streptophyta; Magnoliopsida; Poales; Poaceae. The record is from RNAcentral.